GUUGAUGUUCCAACCCUGAUAUCAGGCUCUAUCCAGAAAGAGAUUUAAACCUUCAGAGUUUAAUUCUCAAGCUGGCGAAGGAUAAUGACGCCGUGAGCCCGUGGGAAGGAAGAAGAGCAAGGCUAUUCGCAAAAUGCUCAGAAAGAAGAAUGAUUCGUUCACUCUCUCUGCCAAGGUGGCCGCCGCUAUUGCUGCCAAGAAGCGCCGCCAAGCCUGGGAAUGCGCUUAAACCUGCCUACUAUUGAUGAUCCAUCCAAUGGUCAUCACGGGAAAGGAAUUCAAAAGAACAACGCCUGAAAAUAAGAAACUUGCCAUGAGAGAAAAAUUCCUCGUUGGGUAUUUUUGUAAUUUCAGCACAAAGGGUAUUUUUGUAAUUUCAGCACAAAGGGACAAACUAGGAUUUAGUGUGAUUCUUCUAGUAAUCAAAUGCUUGACCUUGCAAAAUUACUAUUCUGGUCCCUUUGUCUUGAAAUUACAAAAACAUCCUCUUCAACCUGUAUCGGUUGACUCAUUGGGGACUGGGGACUAGAGUUUCUAGAGUGUUAUUCUAUGAGGGAAAGAUACGAUAGCAACCAUUGAAAACAUAGCCACCAUUGAGGAAGUUGCAUGAGUUCUUUAUAGUGAAGCUGAUGCACUUUUGAGAAAAGAGAAGCAAGCCUUAACUUUUGCCUGGCCUUGCAUUCCGUGUACCUUCCCAAGAAAAAGCUGUACAGAUCCCCUAUUAAUAACCAGCAGAAGAGACUUUACAAGCUUAUUUGGAAGACUCAUUUACCCUCAUUCGGUUGAAAGCUUUCACGUGGCUACUUGCAGAGAAGGCUCCUCACCAAGGCAGUGCGACAAAGAAGAAUGAUGACAGAUUAAAGCGCCAAAUGCUCUGUUUGAGUCUAUUGUUGUUGGCACAGAUAGCUCUGCCCAUCUGAAUGCUGUCAGGGUGAUGAAGAAUGUCUUGUCUAAUAUUUGGCUAGAUCCCGCCAAUUGCAGGUGUUUGGAAGCUUAGCACGGAUGUUUGCCAAAUUCGAAACCAUACAAAAGAUCUUAACUUCGAAAUAAAGACCCAAUAUUUCUAGGAUAUAUCAAACAGCAAGAUAUAGAAAUAGAAAUGAAAUAGGUAGUUAGAUUUUACAAUUUAUUGCAACUAGAAUGAGUCGCUCAAUAGAAUUAUGAUGUAACAAUAAUUGAAGAAAGAAACUUAUAAAAAUAUGUGUUGAAAGAUUCAGCAAAUGCAAAAUAUGUUAGUCACACUUUCCCUCACCUUGAGUCCAGGGAAAUGGGAUUCCUCACUCUCAAGUUGUUAUUCUUUUCUACUGUUAUUCUAUUUUACCUAUUACAAUAUAACUCCUUUUUGAAUAUUGAGAUCUUAAA
Molecule: long non-coding RNA, 1362 nt
Organism: Arachis stenosperma
Lineage: Eukaryota; Viridiplantae; Streptophyta; Magnoliopsida; Fabales; Fabaceae
Exons: 3
Source: RefSeq, a predicted model, not a curated record